RNAcentral lists this ribosomal RNA (442 nucleotides) under uncultured bacterium. RNAcentral's name for it is "partial 16S ribosomal RNA". It matches the Rfam family "Bacterial small subunit ribosomal RNA", at positions 338 to 795 of the family's 1533-position model. The record is from RNAcentral.
CCUACGGGUGGCAGCAGUGGGGAAUAUUGGGCAAUGGGCGCAAGCCUGACCCAGCAACGCCGCGUGAAGGAAGGAGGCUUUCGGGUUGUAAACUUCUUUUGUCAGGGAAGAGUAGAAGACGGUACCUGACGAAUAAGCCACGGCUAACUACGUGCCAGCAGCCGCGGUAAUACGUAGGUGGCAAGCGUUGUCCGGAUUUACUGGGUGUAAAGGGCGUGUAGCCGGGUUGACAAGUCAGAUGUGAAAUCCUGCGGCUUAACCGCAGAACUGCAUUUGAAACUGUUGAUCUUGAGUACUGGAGAGGCAGACGGAAUUCCUAGUGUAGCGGUGAAAUGCGUAGAUAUUAGGAGGAACACCAGUGGCGAAGGCGGACUACUGGACGAUAACUGACGGUGAGGCGCGAAAGCGUGGGGAGCAAACAGGAUUAGAUACCCGAGUAGUC